UCCAGACUCCUACGGGAGGCAGCAGUGGGGAAUAUUGCACAAUGGGGGAAACCCUGAUGCAGCGACGCCGCGUGAAGGACGAAGUAUUUCGGUACGUAAACUUCUCUCAGCAGGGAAGAAAAUGACGGUACCUGACCAAGAAGCCCCGGCUAACUACGUGCCAGCAGCCGCGGUAAUACGUAGGGGGCAAGCGUUAUCCGGAUUUACUGGGUGUAAAGGGAGCGUAGACGGCCAUGCAAGUCUGAUGUGAAAACCCGGGGCUCAACCCCGGGACUGCAUUGGAAACUGUGCGGCUGGAGUGUCGGAGAGGCAAGUGGAAUUCCUAGUGUAGCGGUGAAAUGCGUAGAUAUUAGGAGGAACACCAGUGGCGAAGGCGGCUUCCUGGUCUGCAACUGACACUGAGGCGCGAAAGCGUGGGGAGCAAACAGGAUUAGAUACCCUCGUA
RNAcentral lists this ribosomal RNA (445 nucleotides) under uncultured bacterium. RNAcentral's name for it is "bacterial SSU rRNA". It matches the Rfam family "Bacterial small subunit ribosomal RNA", at positions 330 to 792 of the family's 1533-position model. The record is from RNAcentral.